GAUUAUGGCUCAGGAUGAACGCUGGCGGCAGGCUUAAUACAUGCAAGUCGAACGGUAAGGCCGACGGUAGCAAUACUGGAGGCACACGAGUGGCGCACGGGUGCGUAACGCGUAUGCAACCUGCCCCCGACCGGGACAAAACGCUGAGAAAUCGGCGCUAAUAUCCCAUGCUGACCAAGGGCGGCAUCGCCCGUGGUCGAAAGAUUGAUUGGUCGGGGAUGGGCAUGCGUGGCAUUAGCUGGUUGGCGGGGUAACGGCCCACCAAGGCGACGAUGCCUAGGGGUUCUGAGAGGAAGGUCCCCCACACUGGAACUGAGACACGGUCCAGACUCCUACGGGAGGCAGCAGUAGGGAAUAUUGGGCAAUGGGAGCAAUCCUGACCCAGCCAUGCCGCGUGAAGGAAGACGGCCCUACGGGUUGUAAACUUCUUUUGCCAGAGAGUAACCGCCGCGACGCGUCGCGGCCUGAGAGUAUCUGGCGAAUAAGCACCGGCUAACUCCGUGCCAGCCGCAGC
RNAcentral lists this ribosomal RNA (514 nucleotides) under uncultured bacterium. RNAcentral's name for it is "bacterial SSU rRNA". It matches the Rfam family "Bacterial small subunit ribosomal RNA", at positions 15 to 518 of the family's 1533-position model. The record is from RNAcentral.